Molecule: long non-coding RNA, 2546 nt
Filed under: Cicer arietinum (chickpea)
Lineage: Eukaryota; Viridiplantae; Streptophyta; Magnoliopsida; Fabales; Fabaceae
Description: long non-coding RNA (CARI_LNC001273)
Source: RNAcentral
UAAUAUUUGUAAGUACUCAAAAUAAUACAAAUAAAAUUUUAGUUUAAACAUAAUAUAUCUAGUCAUAACAAAUUGCAACAUAUUGGUUCUUCAGAUUAACUUAUCAUUAUCCAUCUAACUUUUUACCAUCAUGAUCACGAGCAUCGUUAUCAACAAUCUCAUCAUCAAAAUCACCGACAUCAUGAUCACCAAUCUCAUCAUCAUUAUUAUUAUUCUCAUCUUAAUGAAUUUGAUCACUAGUAUAUGGCAUGGGUUUAAAGUUCAAGCUAUUCAUCAGUUGUUUUAUCAAGUGGUUGUUGCGCUCAACUGCUCUGUUUGUAUUAGUCAAUUCCUCUCGAAGUUGAUCUCUUCCAUUUCUCAUUUCUUCAAAUUCAUGUCUUUGAACCCACUCUACCGAUGAAGAACAUGAUCCACGAUAAUUAGGUCUCCCUAAUAAUACAGUAGAUUCCAUUUCGAUACCAUAUUCUCGUCCACUUUUUAUUUCAGCAACCACACACCACACCUCUAAUUCAUUUGAUGGAGGAGUUCCUUGUGAAGUUGUUUCUUGGGUCAAUUCUUCAAACCUACGUUUAAAUUUUUCCCGUCAACAUAAAUAUAAAGCUAAUUAAUAUUUUAAAACACUUUAUUUCGAUCUUAUAUGAAGAUAAAAAAAACCAACAUAGAAAAAUAAAUAAUAUACACUUUAAAGUUGAAAGCUCUGACAUGAACAUAUUCCGAUCUUUUAUCAACCCAAGUUUUAUCCUUGCCACGUUUAUGUGUGUGGAGAAACAAAUUUGAAUGACUAGGAGGAAUGUCAUUCAAAUCCGUCUAACAACAUAUAAAAACUCAACAUUCAAAUCCAUUCAAAUAUUAAACUCCAAACCAAAUUAUUAUAAAUCUAAUCUGGUUUUCAAUUUUAAUUGGGUGACCGGUAUUCAUACCAUAGUUGAGGAAGCUAGCUAAAUGGUUUUCAAACUUAACAUAUUGUAUUUGCCCAUUUGACUAUUCUUGCAAAUGAAAUGAGUUUGUUUCGUCCCAAAAAAAUAUGGAUUACACCGUUAAAUAACCCAUUCAAUUUGACAAGUUAGAAAAUGCAAAAGAACCCAGAGUAAAUAACAAUUCGGGAGCUGGAAAUUUUGCCUCAACUACAAAAUAUAUUUCCCUUAAAUUUUGCCUCAACUCCAGAACAUAUUUCCUUUAAAUUUGCUGACUCAGAUAAUCAUACCAAAAUAAACCAACGUUCUCACAUUCAGCAAAUUUAAGAUUAUCUUAGUCAAAAUCAUAACAAUAAAUUUGGACACCCAAAACAAUAGCUUGGUUAAAACCAUCUACAUUGUAUAACUUCUAGCUGCAUCACAAAAUGGAGAAAACUGACUACUAACCAUGCCAAGCCCCUAGUCAUCCAUAACAAGGUCCCUGAUAGUUAAGUUAGUUUCAGUACUAGUAACAAUAAUAAACAGCUAAAUGCAAACCAAACAAAGAGAAAAGAUAAGCAAGUUGGUUGACUGGAAAACAUACACGAAUAAAGGAAAAAACUAAUAAGUCUAAUUAGUACUCUAAUCAAUAUAAUUUUGGUUGACAUUUACAUAAUUUACUAGGAUUGUAGUUUUCUCCAACAUACUAUGAACACUUUUGUAAAAUACACGCUAUCUUAUAUACAAUACUUAUGCUAUCAAUUGUCAUGUGAUAUGAUUAGAUUUACUUGAUAUAAAACUCAUACGAUUUAUUGAGUGUCACAAAGUAAGCAUAUUUAACCAUGAAAAUAAUAGUAAGAAUCUAAUAUACACAUUUCCUUGUUAGUGUAAUAUUAAGAAUCUUCUUCAAAUAAGCUGAUAUCAUAAUUUGUAGUAGGUUAAUGCGAAUAUUAAUAUUAAUAUACACACAAAUAUAUGUAUUAAUAUCCAGAGAAUUGUCUACAUUGAUUCCAAUAUCAUUCAUUCAAAGUUAAUAUAGAAUCAGAGAGUUAGCAUAUUUAAUUAUGAAAAUAAUAGUAAGAAAACAUGUAGUUUAGUAAUUACCAACUGCAACAGUAACACAUUACCCCCUUUAGUUAAAAUUAUGUGCAUAUUAUCAAACACCUUAUAUGCAGAAUUUCUUUACCCCUUUCGGUUAAAUAAAUUCAAAAUGAUUGCAUCACAAAAAAACAACAAUAAUGAAGCAUAAUUAGAAAAUUAGAAUAUAGAUUCCUUAUCUUUUGGUUCACGAUAGCCGACGAGACGGUAAACAAUGAGGGCUUCACGCCACAGCGGUUGGUGUCACGUCGUAGUUGCAGAGGUUGGUAUGAGAAGGGAUUAGCAAAGAAGGAUGGUUUUAGGAUUUGUGGUGGGUUGAGAAAGAAAAAGGAACUGGUUUUUUUUUUUAGAAAAAUUGAUUGAAAGCAUCAAGAGAACCCAAGACUUGGUAGGAAUAGUGAAAGAAAAGAAAGAGAAGUGAACGAAAGAAUUGAGUCCGAUAAAGAAUAAGUGUUUCUUUGACUUAAUUGCUUGAACCAUGUAGGCUGGGAGUCGAUUAGUUUGAGUUGUGGUGUCGAGAAAGAACGGUUGAAGGAAAUGGGGUUUUAGAGUUUG